AAAACGACUCUCGGCAACGGAUAUCUCGGCUCUCGCAUCGAUGAAGAACGUAGCGAAAUGCGAUACUUGGUGUGAUUGCAAAAUCCCGUGAACCAUCGAGUCUUUGAACGCAAGUUGCGCCCGAAGCCAUUAGGCUGAGGGCACGUCUGCCUGGGCGUCACGC
RNAcentral lists this ribosomal RNA (163 nucleotides) under Erodium hendrikii. RNAcentral describes it as "5.8S ribosomal RNA". It matches the Rfam family "5.8S ribosomal RNA". Rfam says of the family: 5.8S ribosomal RNA (5.8S rRNA) is a component of the large subunit of the eukaryotic ribosome. It is transcribed by RNA polymerase I as part of the 45S precursor that also contains 18S and 28S rRNA. Functionally, it is thought that 5.8S rRNA may be involved in ribosome translocation. The record is from RNAcentral. Lineage: Eukaryota; Viridiplantae; Streptophyta; Magnoliopsida; Geraniales; Geraniaceae.